AUUGAACGCUGGCGGCAUGCCUUACACAUGCGAGUCGAACGGUAACAGGUCUUCGGAUGCUGACGAGUGGCGAACGGGUGAGUAAUACAUCGGAACGUGCCCGAUCGUGGGGGAUAACGAAGCGAAAGCUUUGCUAAUACCGCAUACGAUCUACGGAUGAAAGCGGGGGAUCUUCGGACCUCGCGCGGACGGAGCGGCCGAUGGCAGAUUAGGUAGUUGGUGGGAUAAAAGCUUACCAAGCCGACGAUCUGUAGCUGGUCUGAGAGGAUGAUCAGCCACACUGGGACUGAGACACGGCCCAGACUCCUACGGGAGGCAGCAGUGGGGAAUGUUGGACAAUGGGCGCAAGCCUGAUCCAGCCAUGCCGCGUGCAGGAUGAAGGCCUUCGGGUUGUAAACUGCUUUUGUACGGAACGAAAAGGUGCCUUCUAAUAAAGGGCGCUCAUGACGGUACCGUAAGAAUAAGCACCGGCUAACUACGUG
This 482-nucleotide ribosomal RNA is filed under the name uncultured bacterium. Its description in RNAcentral is "partial 16S ribosomal RNA". It matches the Rfam family "Bacterial small subunit ribosomal RNA", at positions 30 to 507 of the family's 1533-position model. The record is from RNAcentral.